Long non-coding RNA from Lactuca sativa (garden lettuce), 519 nucleotides. RefSeq lists it as uncharacterized. The record is from RefSeq and is a predicted model, not a curated record. NCBI's taxonomy places the organism in Eukaryota, Viridiplantae, Streptophyta, Magnoliopsida, Asterales, Asteraceae.
UAUGAUCAUAUGUAAAUUGAUAAUUAUUGUGUACCUGUAAAACUGAUUUCUAUCCAAUCAAUAUAUAAUCUUUUUUAUUUAAAUUUGAUUAGUAGAGGGUUGUUUAGCCAUUUUUAUAUAUUAUACAAUAUAAUUCCAAGAUUAAACAACUAGAUUUAUGGAAACAAAAUUAAAUCAUUGAUUGACUAUUAACUAUUUCACGUCUUCUCCCUUUCAUAUCUAAAGCUCCAGCGAAUCCUAGACUUGAUUCAUGCAACCAUCUUGUUCAAUUCACCAGGCUGUGAAAACACAAAGAUCAAAAGGAGAAGGGGAUUGCUCAGAUGUCGGCGCCACCAAAACAUCACUCGCUUCUUCAAAGUCUCACAAAUUCGAUUAAUUCGCAGCUUCAUCUUCUAUGGAUCAUCUUUGAUUUUUUGGAUCUAUCAUCCUUCGCUCAUUGAAAUCUACAAGCGUUGAUAUUCCAGCCUUAAAUAAAAUCAAAGAAUGGUAAAAAAUGGCGAACAAGAGUAUCUUGUUGUA